GACGCACAAAGACGAGGAUCGGGAUCGGGUUCGGGGCAUAUAUGCUAUGUAUGUAUGCAAUAUAUAUGCUAUAUGAGGAGCAGCCACAGCACUGGCGGAAGUUCGCCCGGCGAUGUCACUCGUGUAAAAUAUGGCACUGGCCUUGGGAGCAGCACGCACAAUGCGACUGCGCCGUCAAGACGAUUAACAGCAGAAAAGGCAGCAAGAUCAGCCAGAGCUGGGAGAAAUAAUAAAAAGUGCUGCAACUGCAACUGUGGCCAUGAAGCCAGCGGCGUCAUCCAGAAGGAGAAGGAGCAGCACCAUAUUGUGCCCAUCUGGACCUGGCCUGCACGCGAUUGGGAUGGAGUGCUAACGAAGUUACAUUUAAUUAAAUAUAACGAUGGAUUUUCAUUUGGAACUAAUUUAUUUAUUAUCAUUAUAAUUCGAUUAAACUAA
This is a non-coding RNA of Drosophila melanogaster (fruit fly), 435 nucleotides long. NCBI's taxonomy places the organism in Eukaryota, Metazoa, Arthropoda, Insecta, Diptera, Drosophilidae. The record is from Ensembl.